RNAcentral lists this unclassified non-coding RNA (361 nucleotides) under uncultured Ktedonobacteria bacterium. RNAcentral's name for it is "contains 16S-23S intergenic spacer region". Lineage: Bacteria; Bacillati; Chloroflexota; Ktedonobacteria. The record is from RNAcentral.
UCCGCUUUGUGUGCGGCAGUCUCUCUAGAUAUUCAACUAGAAACAAGGGUUGCGCUCGUUGCGGGACUUAACCCAACAUCUCACGACACGAGCUGACGACAGCCAUGCAACAUCUGUGUAUCCGUCCCGAAGGAGGCCCUGCUUUCACAGGGUUGCGAAUACAUGUCAAGCCCAGGUAAGGUUCUUCGCGUCGCAUCGAAUUAAACCACACGCUCCGCUGCUUGUGCGGGUCCCCGUCAAUUCCUUUGAGUUUUAGUCUUGCGACCGUACUCCCCAGGCGGGCCACUUAAUGCGUUAGCUUCGGCACAAGGGGGGUCAACACCCCUCACACCUAGUGGCCAUCGUUUACUGCUAGGACUAC